GAACGCACAUUGCGCCCUUUGGUAUUCCUUAGGGCAUGCCUGUUCGAGCGUCAUUUAACCCCUCAAGCUCAGCUUGGUGUUGGGCGUCUGUCCUUCGCCGUCACGGCGGGACUCGCCUCAAAGACAUUGGCGGCCGGUACCUUGGCUUCGAGCGCAGCAGAAACGCGGUCUCGGGGUCCGGGGGAUCGAGCUCCCAGAAGCCACUCUUUUAUUUUUUGACCUCGGAUCAGGUAGGAAUACCCGCUGAACUUAAG
RNAcentral lists this unclassified non-coding RNA (254 nucleotides) under uncultured fungus. Its description in RNAcentral is "sequence contains 5.8S rRNA gene". The record is from RNAcentral. Lineage: Eukaryota; Fungi.